AUGAGGAUGAGGACGAGGAGACCAAAGGCGGGAUGCGAACCUGGGAAAGUUGCAGUUGUUGAUCUUCUUCUCGCCGUACUUCCUCCAUUGGUGGCCGUCGUUGUGCGGCGCAAAGUUGUUGUUCUAGUGCACUGGUCUCAUGGAGCCUUACCACGACGCCUCUCCGACGGUUUAGUACAACAAGUUUGGCCCGGCUCCGGUGAGGGAGGGAUGAUGACGAUGGCGCGCCAUUGGCUCAUGCCGGUGCUUGUAGUCGUCGCUAGGUGUUCUACGAACAUGGAUGUAAUCUUUAUUAUUUCUAUGCCCUCGGUACUGCCAUGGCAUGAUGAGUACUCCCUUCGUCCUUGA
RNAcentral lists this ribosomal RNA (348 nucleotides) under Triticum aestivum (bread wheat). RNAcentral describes it as "partial small subunit ribosomal RNA". Lineage: Eukaryota; Viridiplantae; Streptophyta; Magnoliopsida; Poales; Poaceae. The record is from RNAcentral.